CCAGACUCCUACGGGAGGCAGCAGUGAGGAAUAUUGGUCAAUGGGCGGAAGCCUGAACCAGCCAAGUCGCGUGAGGGAAUAAGGCCCUACGGGUCGUAAACCUCUUUUGCCGGGGAGCAAGGGCGGGGACGUGUCCCGGCCCGGAGAGUACCCGGAGAAAAAGCAUCGGCUAACUCCGUGCCAGCAGCCGCGGUAAUACGGAGGAUGCGAGCGUUAUCCGGAUUUAUUGGGUUUAAAGGGUGCGUAGGCGGGCUUUUAAGUCAGCGGUAAAAAUUCGGGGCUCAACCCCGUCCGGCCGUUGAAACUGGGGGCCUUGAGUGGGCGAGAAGAAGGCGGAAUGCGUGGUGUAGCGGUGAAAUGCAUAGAUAUCAGGAGGAACACCAGUGGCGAAGGCGGCUUACUGGACUGUAACUGACGUUGAGGCUCGAAAGCGUGGGGAGCAAACAGGAUUAGAUACCCUUGUAC
Molecule: ribosomal RNA, 465 nt
Filed under: uncultured bacterium
Lineage: Bacteria
Description: bacterial SSU rRNA
Rfam family: Bacterial small subunit ribosomal RNA
Source: RNAcentral